RNAcentral lists this ribosomal RNA (459 nucleotides) under uncultured bacterium. RNAcentral's name for it is "partial 16S ribosomal RNA". It matches the Rfam family "Bacterial small subunit ribosomal RNA", at positions 338 to 795 of the family's 1533-position model. The record is from RNAcentral.
CCUACGGGUGGCAGCAGUGAGGAAUAUUGGUCAAUGGGAGAGAUCCUGAACCAGCCAAGCCGCGUGAGGGAAGACGGCCCUAUGGGUUGUAAACCUCUUUUGUCGGAGAACAAAACCCGGGACGAGUCCCGGACUGCGUGUAUCCGAAGAAAAAGCAUCGGCUAACUCGGUGCCAGCACCCGCGGUAAUAGGGGGGAUGCGAGCGUUAUCCGGUUUUAUUGGGUUAAAAGGGUGCGUAGGGGGUCUGUUAAGUCAGCGGUACAAUGGCGGGGCUAAACCCCGUCGAGCCGUUGAAACUGGCAGACUUGAGUUGGCGAGAGGUACGCGGAAUGCGCGGUGUAGCGGUGAAAUGCAUAGAUAUCGCGCAGAACUCCGGUUGCGAAGGCAGCGUACCGGCGCCAGACUGACGCUGAGGCACGAAAGCGUGGGGAUCGAACAGGAUUAGAUACCCCAGUAGUC